This 58-nucleotide transfer RNA is filed under the name Ophidascaris baylisi. Its description in RNAcentral is "tRNA-Tyr". The record is from RNAcentral. Lineage: Eukaryota; Metazoa; Nematoda; Chromadorea; Rhabditida; Anisakidae.
AAAAGAUUAGUUUAUAUAUUUAAAAUAUUAGAUUGUAAAUCUAUAGAAUUUUCUUUUA